RNAcentral lists this ribosomal RNA (118 nucleotides) under Photobacterium phosphoreum. RNAcentral's name for it is "partial 16S ribosomal RNA". It matches the Rfam family "Bacterial small subunit ribosomal RNA", at positions 1 to 107 of the family's 1533-position model. RNAcentral also lists the same sequence under 1 other name. The record is from RNAcentral. Lineage: Bacteria; Pseudomonadati; Pseudomonadota; Gammaproteobacteria; Vibrionales; Vibrionaceae.
UUUAAUUGAAGAGUUUGAUCAUGGCUCAGAUUGAACGCUGGCGGCAGGCCUAACACAUGCAAGUCGAGCGGUAACAGAAAAGAAGCUUGCUUCUUUUGCUGACGAGCGGCGGACGGGU